AACGGCCGUACCAUGCUGAAUAUACCGGUUCUCGUUAGAUCACCGAAGUUAAGCAUCAUUGGGCGCGGUCAGUACUUGGAUGGGUGACCACCUGGGAACACUGCGU
This 106-nucleotide ribosomal RNA is filed under the name Caerostris darwini. Lineage: Eukaryota; Metazoa; Arthropoda; Arachnida; Araneae; Araneidae. The record is from RNAcentral.